This 358-nucleotide ribosomal RNA is filed under the name uncultured bacterium. Its description in RNAcentral is "bacterial SSU rRNA". It matches the Rfam family "Bacterial small subunit ribosomal RNA", at positions 62 to 448 of the family's 1533-position model. The record is from RNAcentral.
UCGAACGAAGAGCAAUACUUAGUGGCAGACGGGUGAGUAACAUGUGGGUAUCUACCCUUUGGCCUGGAAUAACACGAGGAAACUUGUGCUAAUACCGGAUAAGUCUUUACGGAGAAAGCUUUAUGCACCAUUGGAUGAGCCCGCACUUGAUUAGUUUGUUGGUAGGGUAAUGGCCUACCAAGACUAUGAUCAAUAGCUGAUUUGAGAGGAUGAUCAGCCACAUUGGGACUGAGACACGGCCCAAACUCCUACGGGAGGCAGCAGUGGGGAAUCUUGCACAAUGGAGGAAACUCUGAUGCAGCGAUGCCGCGUGAGUGAAGAAGGCCUUUGGGUUGUAAAGCUCUUUCGUCGGGGAAGA